UCACUCCCACUGCUAUGCCUUUCCUUCUC
RNAcentral lists this non-coding RNA (29 nucleotides) under Rattus norvegicus (Norway rat). The record is from RNAcentral. Lineage: Eukaryota; Metazoa; Chordata; Mammalia; Rodentia; Muridae.